UGGGGAAUAUUGCGCAAUGGGCGAAAGCCUGACUCAGCGACGCCGCGUGCGGGAUGAAGGUUUUCGGAUCGUAAACCUCUGUCAGAAGGGAAGAAACCGCACUGUGCUAAUCAGCAGUGCCUUGACGGUACCUUCAAAGGAAGCACCGGCUAACUCCGUGCCAGCAGCCGCGGUAAUACGGAGGGUGCAAGCGUUAAUCGGAAUUACUGGGCGUAAAGCGCACGUAGGCUGCUUUGUAAGUCAGGGGUGAAAUCCCACGGCUCAACCGGGGAACUGCCUUUGAGACUGCUGAGCUUGAAUCCGGGAGAGGGUGGCGGAAUUCCAGGUGUAGGAGUGAAAUCCGUAGAUAGCUGGAGGAACAUCAGUGGCGAAGGCGGCCACCUGGACCGGUAUUGACGCUGAGGUGCGAAAGCGUGGGGAGCAAACAGG
RNAcentral lists this ribosomal RNA (429 nucleotides) under Fusobacteriota bacterium. RNAcentral describes it as "Fusobacteria bacterium partial 16S ribosomal RNA". It matches the Rfam family "Bacterial small subunit ribosomal RNA", at positions 355 to 776 of the family's 1533-position model. Lineage: Bacteria; Fusobacteriati; Fusobacteriota. The record is from RNAcentral.